UACAGAGGUGGCAAGCGUUGUUCGGAAUGACUGGGCGUAAAGGGCGCGUAGGCGGCUCGUGAAGUCGGGUGUGAAAGCCCGGGGCUCAACCCCGGAACGGCAUCCGGUACUGGCGGGCUUGAGACCGGGAGAGGAGGGUGGAAUACCCAGUGUAGAGGUGAAAUUCGUAGAUAUUGGGUGGAACACCGGUGGCGAAAGCGGCUCUCUGGCCCGGAUCUGACGCUGAGGCGCGAAAGCGUGGGGAGCAAACAGG
RNAcentral lists this ribosomal RNA (253 nucleotides) under uncultured bacterium. RNAcentral describes it as "partial 16S ribosomal RNA". It matches the Rfam family "Bacterial small subunit ribosomal RNA", at positions 524 to 776 of the family's 1533-position model. The record is from RNAcentral.